RNAcentral lists this ribosomal RNA (489 nucleotides) under uncultured Glomeraceae. RNAcentral describes it as "SSU rRNA". It matches the Rfam family "Eukaryotic small subunit ribosomal RNA", at positions 609 to 1098 of the family's 1831-position model. Lineage: Eukaryota; Fungi; Glomeromycota; Glomeromycetes; Glomerales; Glomeraceae. The record is from RNAcentral.
GUUGUUGCAGUUAAAAAGCUCGUAGUUGAAUUUCGGGAUCAAUGUUUCGGUCAUGCCGUUGGUAUGUACUGAUAUUAUUGAUUUCUCACCUUCUAAAGAACCGUAAUGCCAUUAAUUUGGUGUCACGGGGAAUUAGGACUGUUACCUUGAAAAAAUUAGAGUGUUUAAAGCAGGCUCACGCUUGAAUACAUUAGCAUGGAAUAAUGAAAUAGGACAUCCGAUUCUAUUUUGUUGGUUUCUAGGAUCGAUGUAAUGAUUAAUAGGGAUAGUUGGGGGCAUUAGUAUUCAAUUGUCAGAGGUGAAAUUCUUGGAUUUAUUGAAGACUAACUACUGCGAAAGCAUUUGCCAAGGAUGUUUUCAUUAACCAAGAACGAAAGUUAGGGGGUCGAAGACGAUCAGAUACCGUCGUAGUCUUAACCAUAAACUAUGCCGACUAGGGAUCGGAUGAUGUUAAUUUUUUAAUGACUCAUUCGGCGCCUUACGGGAAAC